RNAcentral lists this ribosomal RNA (445 nucleotides) under uncultured bacterium. RNAcentral describes it as "partial 16S ribosomal RNA". It matches the Rfam family "Bacterial small subunit ribosomal RNA", at positions 354 to 796 of the family's 1533-position model. The record is from RNAcentral.
GUGAGGAAUAUUGGUCAAUGGACGCGAGUCUGAACCAGCCAAGUAGCGUGAAGGAUGACUGCCCUAUGGGUUGUAAACUUCUUUUAUAAGGGAAUAAAGUGAGGGACGUGUCCCUUUUUGUAUGUACCUUAUGAAUAAGGAUCGGCUAACUCCGUGCCAGCAGCCGCGGUAAUACGGAGGAUCCAAGCGUUAUCCGGAUUUAUUGGGUUUAAAGGGAGCGUAGGUUGACAUAUAAGUCAGCUGUGAAAGUUUACGGCUCAACCGUGAAAUUGCAGUUGAUACUGUAUGUCUUGAGUGUACAAGAGGUGGGCGGAAUUCGUGGUGUAGCGGUGAAAUGCUUAGAUAUCACGAAGAACUCCAAUUGCGAAGGCAGCUCACUGGGGUACAACUGACACUGAGGCUCGAAAGUGUGGGUAUCAAACAGGAUUAGAUACCCUGGUAGUCC